This 240-nucleotide unclassified non-coding RNA is filed under the name fungal sp. RNAcentral's name for it is "partial internal transcribed spacer region". The stretch from base 1 to 46 matches the Rfam family "Eukaryotic small subunit ribosomal RNA", at positions 1786 to 1831 of the family's 1831-position model. The record is from RNAcentral. Lineage: Eukaryota; Fungi.
AAGUCGUAACAAGGUCUCCGUUGGUGAACCAGCGGAGGGAUCAUUACUGAGUGUAAAAACUCCCAAACCCAUUGUGAACAUACCACUGUUGCUUCGGCGGAUACGCCCCGGGCGCGCUCUUCACAGGGCGUGCCCCGGAACCAGGCGCCCGCCGGGGGACCGAAACUCUUGUUUUCUUAGGAUCUCUGAGUGUGAUUAUUAAAUAAAUCAAAACUUUCAACAACGGAUCUCUUGGCUCUA